GAAGGAAAAGGCUUAUUCUUCGUCUAUAAAUUGGGAGAUACAAACAAGAUUCUUGCUCAAGCUCUCGAAAUCACUUUUGUCAGUUUGUUUUCUCUGCUCUGCUUGUGAUUUUCGGCUUUCGAAGGUCUUCUUCUUUUCUGCCGCUUUCUCGUGCCGAGAUCAGUAUCUCUUUCUUUCUGAAGCGUGAGGACGAAGCAGCGGAGAACUAAAUGGCGGCGCCUAAGAACUUGGAGAAAAUGGCUUCCAUUGAUGCUCAAUUGAGACUUCUUGCACCGAGUAAGGUGUCGGAGGAUGAUAAGCUGGUGGAAUAUGAUGCUUUGUUGCUCGAUCGCUUUCUGGAUAUUCUUCAGGAUUUGCACGGGGAGGAUCUCAGAGAAACUGUUCAAGAGUGCUAUGAAUUCUCAGCC
Molecule: non-coding RNA, 407 nt
Organism: Momordica charantia (bitter melon)
Lineage: Eukaryota; Viridiplantae; Streptophyta; Magnoliopsida; Cucurbitales; Cucurbitaceae
Source: RefSeq, a predicted model, not a curated record